ACCAUCUUUUUCUUGGGGUUGCACUACUGUCCAGUGAGCACAUAGUGAGGGCAGUACUGCUAAUGCCUACACAACAUGCCUGCAUCAUCUAGAGCUUUGCUCUACCUUGGUACUAUUUUUGGAAAA
This 126-nucleotide non-coding RNA is filed under the name Macaca nemestrina (pig-tailed macaque). RNAcentral's name for it is "U4atac minor spliceosomal RNA (ENSMNEG00000013275.1)". It matches the Rfam family "U4atac minor spliceosomal RNA". From Rfam's summary of the family: U4atac is an essential component of the minor U12-type spliceosome complex which is required for removal of the rarer class of eukaryotic introns (AT-AC, U12-type). The record is from Rfam by way of RNAcentral. Lineage: Eukaryota; Metazoa; Chordata; Mammalia; Primates; Cercopithecidae.